Molecule: ribosomal RNA, 494 nt
Filed under: uncultured bacterium
Lineage: Bacteria
Description: bacterial SSU rRNA
Rfam family: Bacterial small subunit ribosomal RNA
Source: RNAcentral
AAAGGAAUAGACGGGGGCCCGCACAAGCGGUGGAGCAUGUGGCUUAAUUCGAGGCAACGCGAAGAACCUUACCUGGAUUUGACAUGUAUUGGACGUAUGUGGAAACACGUAUUCCCGCAAGGGCCGGUACACAGGUGCUGCAUGGCUGUCGUCAGCUCGUGCCGUGAGGUGUUCGGUUAAGUCCGGCAACGAGCGCAACCCGUGUCAUUAGUUACCAUCAGGUGAAGCUGGGGACUCUAAUGAGACUGCCUGUGUUAAGCAGGAGGAAGGCGCGGAUGACGUCAAGUCCGUAUGGCCUUUAUAUUCAGGGCUGCACACGUGCUACAAUGGGCGGUACAGAAGGAAGCGAGAUCGCGAGAUGGAGCCGAUCCCGAAAACCGUCCUUAGUUCAGAUUGCAGUCUGCAACUCGACUGCAUGAAGCCGGAAUCGCUAGUAAAGGCGUAUCAGCUACGACGCCUUGAAUACGUUCCCGGGCCUUGUACACACCGCCCGU